Salvia splendens (bonfire salvia) is the source of this 555-nucleotide long non-coding RNA. RefSeq lists it as uncharacterized. The record is from RefSeq and is a predicted model, not a curated record. The transcript has 2 exons. NCBI's taxonomy places the organism in Eukaryota, Viridiplantae, Streptophyta, Magnoliopsida, Lamiales, Lamiaceae.
AUUAGUCCAAGUACUUAAAUGAUUCAAAAGAGGCUCCCACCCCCAGAAACUCUAUACAUGAAAUCCACCUCUCUCUAUGCUCAACAUCUCUUUCUAAAUCUCUCUCUUUCUUUUUCGCCUAAUAAGACAUAGCCUCGGAUUUCUUCACAAUCGAAAGUCUAAACAAUGUCUGAUCGUCCCGAAAUUUUAACCAAAGGUAGAUGACUCAUAAAGCAUCAUUCCUACUGAAGAAAAUUGAAUUUUAACGGUUAGAUCUUCUAAAAUUAAUUUUGGAAGUGGCUGCCGUUUUCUACAGUAGCAGUGUCGAUUUUCUACACGAUCGAGGGUACAAACGUUGUCCGAUCGUUCUGAAAUUUUAACGGAAGGAAGUUGGGAUUUCCUGAAGAUAUAAUACUAGCUUUGCGAAGAAGCUUUAGCUCGUUUUUGUAACAUCGUAAAUUAAAUAAAAUUAGUACAUUUCUCAUUUGAAGCGAAAUGACUAUAUUUUGCAAAUGGACAUUUAAUAUCCAUCUGAUUUAUAAAUGUACAUGGAUAAUUAUUUUAUCGCUUCAUGUA